This is a long non-coding RNA of Gouania willdenowi (blunt-snouted clingfish), 2062 nucleotides long. The record is from Ensembl. Lineage: Eukaryota; Metazoa; Chordata; Actinopteri; Blenniiformes; Gobiesocidae.
GCCGGCUGGCCGGGCCGGUCCUGGUGGUACGGGCCGCGCCCUACCAUACCUGCGGGUGCGGCCCCGGGUGGCCCCGGCUUGGGCGGCGCCCUGUGAGCCGGCCUCUGUGGUGUGGCUGGGCUCCUGGGGGGGGGGGGGGGGAGGGGCGAUCUGGCGCGCUCUGGGGUGCCUGGUUGGUGCGCCUGGGGGCCCAGGGCAGUUCCUGGGAUUGCAGUAGCGUUUUUUUUUUUCUUUUUGGUAUACGGUGCACUGGCACGCCUUGGGAUGUGGGAUAAAACUCAUACUGGGCUUAACCUUAGACACGUUAAUCCGAAAUACCUGCUUUAGGUGCUACCAUUCACUCAUUCCCCCUGUUCACAGCCACCACCAUUAUAGCUAAGUUUCACACUUGUCACCAUACUGGCUGGAUUACACAACAUAAUAAGCACAAUAUAUUCUACAACCUCACAUCUCACCCUCACUGCAAAACAGUCUAUUCUUCCCCACCUUUUCUAUAUCCCGCCUUGAGUCUCUUCUCCCUGCUCCCUCUCCCCUCCCCUUCCCCCUCCCCCUCCACUUAUGUGUAACACUGCUCUCCCUUUUUAUAUCCUCCCUAUAAUAAAAGAUUUCUUACCCUUCCUUAGGGAGGGCUGGUGAUGGUCACAAUUAAGCAAUAAAAUAAAUCAAUGUAUUUUAUUGCAAUAACAAAAUAUGCAUUGCUGUCUCAUAAUAAUUGCACUUCCUGUGGUGUUGACCUUUGACAGCAUGUGAAGACAAAGAAAAAAAAAAAAAAAAAAAUGAAAAACAUGUGACAAUGUUGACCUGAAGGACAUUUGUUUUUAGAGGAAAAUCCAAUUGAAAAUGAUAUUAUUUGAUGAUAUGACAAUCCAUUUAUUUUAUGUAUAUAAGAUGCUAAGUUUUUAUCAGACAAUCUUGUAAAUAUUUGCUUGAAGAUAAAUUGAUGCUGUAAACUUCAAAUUCUUGUUGUCCUUUGUUUGUAGCCCGGGCCAGAACAGGUUUCCUUGGAGACGAUAGCUGGAUCAAAAGGGCUGAUGAUGAGGAUGAAGAUAAUGACACCACCACUACUGUCUCCAAAGAUGGCAGAACUACCACCACCACUGAGACGACCACUAUUAGGUCAGGUGUGAAACAGUCGAGCAGGACUGAGACGUUCACCCAGCGGGUCCUGUCCUCCAGCAAAGAGCCACAGUACUCAUCCUAUACACCUAAAACAACUGAAGUCGCCAGGAGAUCUGUCACCAGCACCAAAGAUGCAGAGGACCAUCUGUUUGACACCCUCGUCCAAUCGCCCACCAGGAAUAAUUACUCACCCACAGACAGUGAAACAUCUGUGAUCACAUCUGAGACGGUGACUUUAAAACCCAGUGGAGACGCACAUGCUGAGGAUCAACUCUAUGACCGACUUAUUCUAAAAUCGAUCAAAGAUGAAGACUCUAGUGGAAGGAAAUCUGUGUCCAGUGUUGAGACUGUGUCAGUGAGAAGCACCUCCAUUGGGGCUGAUGAUGAUUUUGACUCCUAUCGAACCAAAUCUCUUUCAUCAGAUCGAUCAUCUUCCCUCACCAGAGGAGAAAGUUCAACGAUGAGUUCAAAGACUUCCAUCCACAACUACAGCUCUUACACUGAAGAGUCUCCUGUCACCACCACCACCACCUACACCAUCAGCAGCAGCAAGUCCAGUGACGACUACAACAGUAACCUCAAAAACUGCUCCUACUCCUCCAGACCAAAUGCCAGGUAUAGGACGACGUGCACGACGGCUGGCAGCUUUGCUUGCCAGCCGAUUAUUUUGUUCUUCACCUGUUUCUGCUGCACGGCGUGUUGCCUCACGUGCAGCGUUGCUCGCCAGGCGGGCAUUUCGGACUUCAGGUGACCUGGCGCAUUUCCUCACAAUUCCGCUCUGUUUCUGCACGUCAAUUUUUUGGCAUGAUACAACCAAAAGUGAUUUGUAGAAUAGUAAUGGUAGUAAUAGUAGUGCGUGCCGCUCAGACGCUCCUCCCACCUCGCAUGUCCCCUUCGGUUUAACCCGCAUUUAGUUUAAAAUAAAAAUUUUGAAAAGUAAUCA